AUACCCGAGUGGAGAAACCCAGUGUGAUUCGUCGCACUAUCAUUAACUGAAUCCAUAGGUUAAUGAGGCGGAGCGGGGGAACUGAAACAUCUAAGUUCGCCGAGUAAAAUAGGUCAACCGAGAUUCCCCCAGUAGCGGCGAGGGAGCGGGGAGGAGCGCAGAGCCUGAGUCAGCAUGUGUGUUAGUGGAGGCGUCUGGAAAGGUGCGCGAUACAGGGUGACGGCCCCGUGCACAAAGGCGCAUGUGCUGUG
This 251-nucleotide ribosomal RNA is filed under the name Salmonella enterica subsp. enterica serovar Typhimurium. RNAcentral's name for it is "partial 23S ribosomal RNA". It matches the Rfam family "Bacterial large subunit ribosomal RNA", at positions 110 to 398 of the family's 2925-position model. Lineage: Bacteria; Pseudomonadati; Pseudomonadota; Gammaproteobacteria; Enterobacterales; Enterobacteriaceae. The record is from RNAcentral.